This 66-nucleotide ribosomal RNA is filed under the name Rhipidoglossum aff. laticalcar MSD-2018. RNAcentral describes it as "partial 5.8S ribosomal RNA". It matches the Rfam family "5.8S ribosomal RNA", at positions 1 to 61 of the family's 154-position model. Rfam says of the family: 5.8S ribosomal RNA (5.8S rRNA) is a component of the large subunit of the eukaryotic ribosome. It is transcribed by RNA polymerase I as part of the 45S precursor that also contains 18S and 28S rRNA. Lineage: Eukaryota; Viridiplantae; Streptophyta; Magnoliopsida; Asparagales; Orchidaceae. RNAcentral also lists the same sequence under 1 other name. The record is from RNAcentral.
AACACGACUCUCGGCAAUGGAUAUCUCGGCUCUCGCAUCGAUGAAGAGCGCAGCGAAAUGCGAUAC